This 498-nucleotide ribosomal RNA is filed under the name uncultured bacterium. RNAcentral describes it as "partial 16S ribosomal RNA". It matches the Rfam family "Bacterial small subunit ribosomal RNA", at positions 30 to 523 of the family's 1533-position model. The record is from RNAcentral.
AUUGAACGCUGGCGGCAUGCUUUACACAUGCAAGUCGAACGGUAACAGGCCGCAAGGUGCUGACGAGUGGCGAACGGGUGAGUAAUGCAUCGGAACGUGCCCAGUCGUGGGGGAUAACGCAGCGAAAGCUGUGCUAAUACCGCAUACGAUCUAUGGAUGAAAGCGGGGGACCGUAAGGCCUCGCGCGAUUGGAGCGGCCGAUGUCAGAUUAGGUAGUUGGUGGGGUAAGGGCCUACCAAGCCGACGAUCUGUAGCUGGUCUGAGAGGACGACCAGCCACACUGGGACUGAGACACUGCCCAGACUCCUACGGGAGGCAGCAGUGGGGAAUUUUGGACAAUGGGCGCAAGCCUGAUCCAGCAAUGCCGCGUGCAGGAAGAAGGCCUUCGGGUUGUAAACUGCUUUUGUACGGAACGAAACGGCCUGGGUUAAUACCCUGGGCUAAUGACGGUACCGUAAGAAUAAGCACCGGCUAACUACGUGCCAGCCGCCGCCGUAA